GUGCUCGCUUCGGCAGCACAUACACUAAAAUUGGGAUGAUGCAGAGAUUAGCGUGGCCCCUGCGCAAGGAUGACAUGCAAAUUCGUGAAGCAUUCCAUAUUUUU
Molecule: small nuclear RNA, 104 nt
Filed under: Vicugna pacos (alpaca)
Lineage: Eukaryota; Metazoa; Chordata; Mammalia; Artiodactyla; Camelidae
Source: RNAcentral